CACCGCUACACAGGAAAUUCCACCACCCUCUACCGUACUCUAGCUCAGUAGUUUUGGAUGCAGUUCCCAGGUUGAGCCCGGGGAUUUCACAUCCAACUUGCUGAACCACCUACGCGCGCUUUACGCCCAGUAAUUCCGAUUAACGCUUGCACCCUUCGUAUUACCGCGGCUGCUGGCACGAAGUUAGCCGGUGCUUAUUCUGUUGGUAACGUCAAAACAGCAAGGUAUUAACUUACUGCCCUUCCUCCCAACUUAAAGUGCUUUACAAUCCGAAGACCUUCUUCACACACGCGGCAUGGCUGGAUCAGGCUUUCGCCCAUUGUCCAAUAUUCCCCACUGCUGCCUCCCGUAGGAGUCUGGACCGUGUCUCAGUUCCAGUGUGACUGAUCAUCCUCUCAGACCAGUUACGGAUCGUCGCCUUGGUAGGCCUUUACCCCACCAACUAGCUAAUCCGACCUAGGCUCAUCUGAUAGCGUGAGGUCCGAAGAUCCCCCACUUUCUCCCUCAGGACGUAUGCGGUAUUAGCGCCCGUUUCCGGACGUUAUCCCCCACUACCAGGCAGAUUCCUAGGCAUUACUCACCCGUCCGCCGCUGAAUCCAGGAGCAAGCUCCCUUCAUCCGCUCGACUUGCAUGUGUUAGGCCUGCCGCCAGCGUUCAAUCUGAGCCAGGAUCAAACCCUC
RNAcentral lists this ribosomal RNA (681 nucleotides) under uncultured bacterium. RNAcentral describes it as "partial 16S ribosomal RNA". The record is from RNAcentral.